Molecule: ribosomal RNA, 490 nt
Filed under: uncultured bacterium
Lineage: Bacteria
Description: partial 16S ribosomal RNA
Rfam family: Bacterial small subunit ribosomal RNA
Source: RNAcentral
AUUGAACGCUGGCGGCAGGCCUAACACAUGCAAGUCGAACGGUAACAGGAAGAGGCUUGCUUCUUUGCUGACGAGUGGCGGACGGGUGAGUAAUGUCUGGGAAACUGCCUGAUGGAGGGGGAUAACUACUGGAAACGGUAGCUAAUACCGCAUAACGUCGCAAGACCAAAGAGGGGGACCUUCUGGCCUCUUGCCAUCGGAUGUGCCCAGAUGGGAUUAGCUAGUAGGUGGGGUAACGGCUCACCUAGGCGACGAUCCCUAGCUGGUCUGAGAGGAUGACCAGCCACACUGGAACUGAGACACGGUCCAGACUCCUACGGGAGGCAGCAGUGGGGAAUAUUGCACAAUGGGCGCAAGCCUGAUGCAGCCAUGCCGCGUGUAUGAAGAAGGCCUUCGGGUUGUAAAGUACUUUUAGCGGGGAGGAAGGGAGUAAAGUUAAUACCUUGGCUCAUUGACGUUACCCGCAGAAGAAGCACCGGCUAACUCCGUG